RNAcentral lists this ribosomal RNA (788 nucleotides) under Chloroflexota bacterium. Its description in RNAcentral is "bacterial SSU rRNA". It matches the Rfam family "Bacterial small subunit ribosomal RNA", at positions 1 to 807 of the family's 1533-position model. The record is from RNAcentral. Lineage: Bacteria; Bacillati; Chloroflexota.
CUUACGGAGAGUUUGAUCCUGGCUCAGGACAAACGCUGGCGGCGUGUAUUAGGCAUGCAAGUCGAGCGAGAAGCCGGCCUUCGGGCUGGUGGAGAGCGGCGGACGGGUGAGUAACACGUGGGUAACCUGCCCUGGAGUGGGGGAUAACCCGGCGAAAGCCGGGCUAAUACCGCAUACGACUCCCGAUGCGAGAUCGGGUAGUGAAAACUCCGGUGCUCCGGGAGGGGCCCGCGGCCGAUUAGCUAGUUGGUGAGGUAACGGCCCACCAAGGCGACGAUCGGUAGCUGGUCUGAGAGGAUGAUCAGCCACACGGGGACUGAGAACGGCCCCGACUCCUACGGGAGGCAGCAGCUAAGAAUCUUGCGCAAUGGGCGAAAGCCUGACGCAGCAACGCCGCGUGCGGGAGGAAGGCCUUCGGGUUGUAAACCGCUUUUGCGAGGGAAGAAGUUCUGACGGUACCUCGCGAAUAAGUCACGGCUAACUACGUGCCAGCAGCCGCGGUAAUACGUAGGUGACAAGCGUUGUCCGGAUUUACUGGGCGUAAAGCGCCCGCAGGCGGCCCGGCAAGUUUCAGGUGAAAUCUCCCGGCUCAACCGGGAGGGGUCCUGGAAAACUGCCAGGCUUGAGGCAGGGAGGGGAAUGCGGAAUUUCCGGUGUAGCGGUGAAAUGCGUAGAUAUCGGAAGGAACACCAGCGGCGAAGGCGGCAUUCUGGCCCUGUCCUGACGCUCAGGGGCGAAAGCGUGGGGAGCGAACCGGAUUAGAUACCCGGGUAGUCCACGCCGUAAAC